GAAAUGCGAUAAGUAAUGUGAAUUGCAGAAUUCAGUGAAUCAUCGAAUCUUUGAACGCACAUUGCGCCCCCUGGUAUUCCGGGGGGCAUGCCUGUUCGAGCGUCAUUUCACCACUCAAGCCUCGCUUGGUAUUGGGCGACGCGGUCCGCCGCGCGCCUCAAAUCGACCGGCUGGGUCUUCCGUCCCCUCAGCGUUGUGGAAACUAUUCGCUAAAGGGUGCCGCGGGAGGUCACGCCGCAAAACAACCCCAUUUCUAAGGUUGACCUCGGAUCAGGUAGGGAUACGCGCUGAACUUAAGC
RNAcentral lists this unclassified non-coding RNA (299 nucleotides) under plant metagenome. RNAcentral's name for it is "partial contains 5.8S ribosomal RNA, internal transcribed spacer 2, and large subunit ribosomal RNA". The stretch from base 1 to 105 matches the Rfam family "5.8S ribosomal RNA", at positions 50 to 154 of the family's 154-position model. The record is from RNAcentral.